ACAACUGCAGCGAGAGAAGAGGCUGGCAGCAUGGGUGGCAGGAGGCUUGGCAGCCUCACAGGAUGCCUGCAAAUACCUUUCACUUAUGCAGUUUGGCAGUGCAGUGGUGCAUGGAGACAGCGUCUUGGGCCUGAUCAUUUCAGAGCCACCUCAGGCUACCAGCAAUGUAUGACCUGCCCUUUUCUGUAAUGGAGAAGCACCAAGGAGAUGUUUCUUCUACCUCUUCCAGAUAUAGCUUGAGAUGAACCAUCCAAUCUCCUGCCUCGAGUAUUGAAGCCUGGCUACUGUGACUGUGGGGAAGGGAUUAAUGGUCUCAGCAUUCAGUCACAUUUCAAAGGCCAGAUCUUUCCCAGGGCUUAAGCUGUUCCUUGGAUACUUUUGCUGAUGGUUUACACAUCUUCUUCCCACAUUAUAUUGUAACUUUCUU
RNAcentral lists this non-coding RNA (427 nucleotides) under Homo sapiens (human). The record is from RNAcentral. Lineage: Eukaryota; Metazoa; Chordata; Mammalia; Primates; Hominidae.